UACGAAGGGGGCUAGCGUUGCUCGGAAUCACUGGGCGUAAAGGGUGCGUAGGCGGGUCUUUAAGUCAGGGGUGAAAUCCUGGAGCUCAACUCCAGAACUGCCUUUGAUACUGAGGAUCUUGAGUUCGGGAGAGGUGAGUGGAACUGCGGGUGUAGAGGUGAAAUUCAUAGAUAUUCGCAAGAACACCAGUGGCGAAGGCGGCUCACUGGCCCGAUACUGACGCUGAGGCACGAAAGCGUGGGGAGCAAACAGG
RNAcentral lists this ribosomal RNA (253 nucleotides) under uncultured bacterium. RNAcentral describes it as "partial 16S ribosomal RNA". It matches the Rfam family "Bacterial small subunit ribosomal RNA", at positions 524 to 776 of the family's 1533-position model. The record is from RNAcentral.